GAUGAACGCUGGCGGCGUGCCUAAUACAUGCAAGUCGAGCGAACAGACGAGGAGCUUGCUCCUCUGACGUUAGCGGCGGACGGGUGAGUAACACGUGGAUAACCUACCUAUAAGACUGGGAUAACUUCGGGAAACCGGAGCUAAUACCGGAUAAUAUAUUGAACCGCAUGGUUCAAUAGUGAAAGACGGUUUUGCUGUCACUUAUAGAUGGAUCCGCGCCGCAUUAGCUAGUUGGUAAGGUAACGGCUUACCAAGGCAACGAUGCGUAGCCGACCUGAGAGGGUGGUCGGCCACACUGGAACUGAGACACGGUCCAGACUCCUACGGGAGGCAGCAGUAGGGAAUCUUCCGCAAUGGGCGAAAGCCUGACGGAGCAACGCCGCGUGAGUGAUGAAGGUCUUCGGAUCGUAAAACUCUGUUAUUAGGGAAGAACAAAUGUGUAAGUAACUAUGCACGUCUUGACGGUACCUAAUCAGGAAGCCACGGCUAACUACGUG
Molecule: ribosomal RNA, 497 nt
Filed under: uncultured bacterium
Lineage: Bacteria
Description: partial 16S ribosomal RNA
Rfam family: Bacterial small subunit ribosomal RNA
Source: RNAcentral